AUGCUGUCUAGGAGCAUGCACUUUUCCUCCAUAAAGAUGUUCGCUGCUGGGCUGUCUGAGUGGAUUCAAGUAAUUGGAUUAAGAUAUUAUUUUAAAUGAUGCACUGCAUGCUUAACUAAGCUUCUCGGUGUGCUGACAGAGAAUAUUGAGAGCUCAAAGGACUUGUUUGGACUAGUUUCCCACCCUAGUUUGAACAAGGUGGAUGCAUUUUGUUGAUCGCAUGGUACAAGUUUCCGAGGUGUUUGCUGAGUAGCGCUUUACAAACCAGAAUCUACCAAACACAUGUAUGCAGAACUUGAUCGACACAGUCUUCGCUGGUGACUUUAUAUCUCAUCAGAAGACACUGAAGUCGGAAAAGACUUCUGGAUCAACAUAGCGUCCACACAAGUCGAACCACUGUGCUUCGUGCACUUCCUGUGCUGCUGAGAGAAGAUGCCUCAAGAUUCUUCAAAGCAUGCGGAAAUAAAGUCAUACAGGUCUGGAACAAGGCUGAAGAUUCAGAAGAGCCAAUUGUUGGAUAUUCACCAGUUGCCCUGUUAACAGUGGUAAGAGAACUCGGAUGCUGCAAUUCACUACAAUCUGGUCAGAAAUUUCAUUGUUCUUGAAAGUGAAGUCAUCCCCCACCUGCCCAGGACUGAUUUAUGCAUUGGAUCUGAGUUACCCAAAAGAGUUUUAAAGACAGGUGGCUUUAUAAGGUUUUAACGUUGAAUGUACAACCCUAAUGCAGCUGUAGACAAUUUAUCCUGUCGCUGUCAAAUGUGUUUUGUUUUUUGUUUUUCCUCAGUGUUGUGCCUCAUGAUUUGUCAAUAAUUAAAAAUUGUCUUUUUAUGUUAAAUAUGUUUACUACAUGCAGUUUGCUUAUUUUUAUUAUAAUUUUGAAUUUUAUUUUGACAGUUUAUUAAUGUAUUUGAAUACUAAAAAAAAAAAAAAAGACUGAUUUUGUUUUGUGCAACACUUCUGACAGUUAAUAUAAACCUGGGCAUUUGCAAAGUAAAAUUACAUGUUUUUUUUUUUUGUGUGUGUUUUAUAUAUAAAUGGUCUUAGAUUUACAGUAUUUUUUGUAAUAACAAUAGUAAAUAUAGCUGCAAGCAGCGAUGAUGGGCCCAAGCACCAUGGGUCCAUUUCCACUCAAUGCAUGUGUGGAGCCGAGGAGGGAGGGGCCGGGUUGGAAUGAGACACACCCGGUCCCCAAUCAGCCUGAUGGGGCGCGCGAGGGAUAAAGGCGGCCGGGGACGACAGUUAGAGAGAGAGAGAAUUACAGACAGCUGUGCUGUGUUUUUAGUUGUGUGUUUUUGGUUUGGGUUUUUGUUUAAUAAAUUAUUAUUUAAGUUGUCAAGCCGGUUCUCGCCGCCUCCUUUCCUCUAAACCCCCUUACACUGGUGCCGAAACCCGGGAAGGAGGAGGGAUUCCCGUCGCAGAGUCCUUGACACUGCCGUCCACCCAGGGGAGCGCCGCUGCCGUCCGACGGUGGACGGAGUAGCCCGACUACCCGGACGCGGGGAACGGCCGCCGUCCGCGAGGCGAGUGGGGACGGGACUCCCCGACCGCCUGGAGCGAGGGAGCCGCUGCCGGGGGCGGAGGAGUGCCCUGCCGUCCCCCGGGAACGCGGAGGGGUUGAGAGAAGACCGCCGUCCGCGGGGGGGAGGAGGGAAGUGACUCCCCGACCGCCUGGAGUGGUAGGGCCGCUGCCAGGGGCGGAGGAGAGUCCCCACGGGACGCCGGGAACGCGGAGGGGCGUUCUGUCAGCUGGGGGUCGGAGGUCUGACUCCGGUCCGCCCGGGGAGGAGCGGCUGCAGUCCGCCUGAGAGGGUGGAGUAGUGAUCGAGGACCACGCGACGGCGCAUCAGAGAACCGGUCGAGGAAGGCGGGGAGGACCCGCCGGCAGUCGGGGCAUAAGGCACGCCCCCCCACCUGGAGAGGAAGGGUGAGGGGGGAUGUACGUCAUGCCGGGGGCUCCCCGGCCUGAGGCAACGCCGGGAGGAGUGUGGAGCCGAGGAGGGAGGGGCCGGGUUGGAAUGAGACACACCCGGUCCCCAAUCAGCCUGAUGGGGCGCGCGAGGGAUAAAGGCGGCCGGGGACGACAGUUAGAGAGAGAGAGAAUUACAGACAGCUGUGCUGUGUUUUUAGUUGUGUGUUUUUGGUUGGGUUUUUGGUUAAUAAAUUAUUAUUUAAGUUGUCAAGCCGGUUCUCGCCUCCUCCUUUCCUCGAAACCCCCUUACAGCAUGAUAGACACAGCAACAACUCAACAUUAAUCUAAACUUGGACCCUAAUCAUACAAAGUGUAAUAAGACAUAUGCCACCAUUCCAGUUUGACUACAACUUAAUGUAAUUUAAACUGUUGCCAUGACAACACUAUUAAAGCAUCCCUUCAAAAUUUUCCAUCAGCAGUGUCUAAACAAUUCUGAAGCAAUUUGGGUAAAUGUAAGAGGACUAUUUUAGAGUCUGUUUUAGGUGCCACACUUACUGCUGCCAGUUGGUGGUGCUAUGACAUGACCCACAAUAGCCACAUCCAUGUGAUUAGCCCCAAGAUAAAAACAUACAACUCAAUUUUGAUCUAAAUCACACAAUGCAUGCAGAAGAUAUGAGACACUUCCUGUUUCCCUAUUUUUGCCAUUAAUUUAGUGAAUCACCAUGGCAACACCACUGGAUACAUUUUUGUUAUAAUUGAAUAUAUUUAUUGAAAAAAAUAAGUAGAUCUAAAGAUUAUAUUGUAAUGAUUUCAUUUACCAUUUUUAUUUAUCCUUGAAAUGGCUUUAAAUUUAAUUAACAAAUGUAAUUCAAAGCAUUAGGUGUUAAGAUAGUCUAAGUAGAUUUUAAUAUGAGCACAGAAGUCAUUUAGGCUUGAAAUGUCAUAAUUCUGUGAAAAUACGUUUCAAAUUCUUUUAUUGUUGCAUUUUUCUCUGUUCAAUAUCAAAAUAAAUGAAGUACAUUAACUUUGAGUCUGCAUUCGUUAUUCAUACGCACAACUGUUUAAAUAGCCUCUAAAUUAAUGUAGGGCAAAUGAGGACAUAAAUUAGUUUAGAAUACUGCAUGUUCGCCCAUAGAAUAAUUUUUCAAAGCAUAAAUUACCAACUGGUUACCAACAAACAACUAUUUGUCACGGUUCCGGCAUUUGUGCCGGCUCAUACUGUUGUUUGUUUUUCUCUCUCCCUCGUGCCUCACAGGUUGAGAUGGCACGCGAUCAAUGUUUCCAUGGGUACAGUGAUCAGUCUCGGGUAGAUGCUGAUAACAGCAAUGAUUUACUCACCUGUUACCAUCUGCUUCACUCUGAUUGCACUCCCUACUUAUUCCUUGUGUGUCACCUCGUUAUUUGCCCAUUUAUUGUUCA
Myxocyprinus asiaticus (Chinese sucker) is the source of this 3328-nucleotide long non-coding RNA. RefSeq lists it as uncharacterized. The transcript has 8 exons. The record is from RefSeq and is a predicted model, not a curated record. Lineage: Eukaryota; Metazoa; Chordata; Actinopteri; Cypriniformes; Catostomidae.